UUCAUAGAAGAGAGUUUCUAGUUUCAUUCUGACAUUGACACGUGUUAUGUUGUAAUUGGCUUUUGAUGUUGACACGUGUCACGUUAUGAUUGGCUUCUGAUGUUGACACAUGUCGAAACGUUGUGAUUGGCCUCCUAGUUGGAGGGAAACUCUUCUGGGUCCUUGACGGUAUAACGUUGACCGAUGCUCAGUAGUUUCGGGAUUAGUCAAGUAUGGUACAAACAAAGUGGGUUUUGAUUAUCUGUUGGUGCUGAAGUUAUUGGUUGUAACAAGUUGAAAAAUACAGACUGGAUUUCACAGCAGGACCCAUAUGUCUGCCUUGAAUAUUCUAACACCAAGCAUCGCACCAGAACAAGCACAUGUGAUCGAUUUAUGCCCUGUUUACUUAGAGCCAACGUGUUGGCUGGCUCCUUUUGGCCAGCUCGCUGGCCUGGUGGAUGAAUUAUGGUCUAGUGGGGCCCAUAAACCCCUUGGCCUAACCCUCGAUUGGAGAUGGUUUUCGUGCCAAAACGGGCUAUAUUUGGGCCUAUGACCCUUUGGUCGGGUCGGUUGGAGAUGGCCUAACAAGCUUUAAAUCUUUUGACUACUCAUUCUUAGUGUCGUAGUAAUGAAUUAUACAUGUUUAUUUGCUUAAGUUCCAUAGGGUGUUAAACACACUUGUGUUUGAUCAAAUGAAUGCUGAAAACAGUCCGAAUAAAAUCCAAAAGAGACAAACUGUGUACUUUUGACACCCAAUAAGUUUUUGAACUUUUGAGUACUCAUUAUUAUGGUCCUAGAAGCCUAUUGUAUGUGUUUAUUUGCUUAAGUUCCAAAGGGUGUCAAACGCACGCUUGUUUGUUUCCAUGAAUGUCGAAAACAGUCCAAAUACGAUAUAUAAGGAAAAACCGUAUACUUUUGACACCCAAUAAGCUUUUAAACUUUAGAGUACUCAUUCUUAUUGUCCUUGUAGCGUAUUUUAUGUGCUUAUUUGCUUAAGUUCCAAAGGUUGUCAAAUGCACACUCGUUUGAUCACAUGAAUGCCCAAAACAGUUCAAAUACACUUCAAAGAGAAAAAACUAUGUACUUUCGAGACCCCAUAAGCUUUUAAACUUUUGAUUACUUAUUAUUAUGGUCCUAGUAUCAUAUUUUAUGUGUUUAUUUUCUUAAGUUCCAAAUGGUGUUAAAUGCACACUUGUUUGAUCACAUGAAGGCCGAAACAAUCCAAAUACACACCAAAGAGAAAAAACAUGUACUUUUGACACCUAAAAAGCUUUUGAUCUUUUGAGAACACAUUCUUAGGGCCCUAGUAAUGCAUUAUAUGUGUUUAUUUCUUAUGUUCUAAAUGGUGUCAAACGUACGUUCAUUCUAUACUAUGAAUGCCGAAAACAUUGCAAAUACAAUUGAAAUUGAGAAAGUGUGUA
RNAcentral lists this long non-coding RNA (1400 nucleotides) under Malus domestica (apple). RNAcentral describes it as "long non-coding RNA (MDOM_LNC012049)". Lineage: Eukaryota; Viridiplantae; Streptophyta; Magnoliopsida; Rosales; Rosaceae. The record is from RNAcentral.